Long non-coding RNA from Gallus gallus (chicken), 11046 nucleotides. RefSeq lists it as uncharacterized. Lineage: Eukaryota; Metazoa; Chordata; Aves; Galliformes; Phasianidae. The transcript has 2 exons. The record is from RefSeq and is a predicted model, not a curated record.
GGCCAGCUCCGCCGCCGCCCCCGCUGCCAUUUGUUGCUCGCGUUCGGAGGGAGCAGCUCUCCUCCCCAUCACCGCCGCCUGCUCCGUAGCAACUGGUCCGGGUCGGUGAUGUCAACAAACUUCGUGCUCCUCUCAGCCCAUGGGCACCACCACUGCAUUUAGAGAAGCCGAGGUUUUGUCCCAUGAAGAAUAAUGGAGAGAAAUGAUCUUUGCAGAGGGCCACCACAAAUCCUUUUCAUCCUGUAAUUUCCAUUGGUACUUCUGGUAGCAAUAUGCAUUGUUCUGAAGUCCAUCUUGCUUCCUGAUGCUGCACUUACAAGGAUUGGAGGUUUGGAUAUGAAAUGAUCUCUUCAAGACAUACCAGUAGCUCCUGGUUUCUUGUAUUUGACAAGUUCUGUCAUAUUGAACGAUCUUGCCAGCUUUGCACAUACUCCCCUUUCUACACAGUGAGGAGCUGCUCUGUAUUAAGGAAUAGAGCUUCUGGUUUAUAUAACAGAAAAUCCUUAGAUUGUCAAUAAUUCAUUAGCUCUGAAAGAGAAACAGCAGCUGUAAAUAAGCUCAACUUGUACAGCUCAUACUCCACCUAGCUCUGAUUUAGAGAAAAAUAUAAGUGGUGAAGAACAGUAUUCUGCUAUGCACCAUCCACUGCCUGAAAUUGGUGCUUGGGCUGCUCACAAAAUAGUAUGCAUUUCUGGGAUGCUUAAAUAUUAGAGAAAUAACUGGAAAAUAGAUGUUUCAUGCUAAUCAAACUGAGUUAGUAGGGGUUAGAUCUUGUCAGACAUUCCAGUGAGGGUUUUUUUGUUGUUGUUGUUAUUUAGGAGACUUAUAUAAAAUAAAAGUAGUUGUAUGGAUAGGACAGACUUGGAUUUCUGCAAGGCACUUGGCUUAAUACCACAUGACAUUUUGAUUUCCAGUCUUGCAUUACAGAGAAUUAACAACUCACACAUUAUGGGGAUUAAGAAGUGUCUCACUGACAAAUUUAAAAAUGUAGCCUUUUAAUGGGGAGGUUUCAUUCAAUGUGGGGAGCUUUCCCAGCAGAGCCAGAAACAGUCUUUAUCUAAUACAAUUUUAUAUUGUUUUCAGCAGUACAGACCAAGAUAAAAUCUGUGCUUUUAAGGCUUGUAUAUGACACAGUGUAUUUUAGCACAGUAAAUAAAGAAGAUAUAUUACUUCUGCAGUGAUUUGAUUUGGCUAAAUGAUCACUGUCCAGCAGGCUGCACACUAAAUUCAUUUUAAUGCAUUCAAAUGCAAAUUAAUACCUCUGGGGACCAGAAGCUUGUAGGAAUGGGUACUGUCUCAAAAAGCAGAGACUUGAGGAAUGACAAAAAAGUGAUUACCCUGGAUAAUCACUCCGAACACAAGAUCUCGGUGCAAAGCUAUGGCAAGGACCCAGCACAGUCCUUGCAGGUUCCUAAAAUAACAAGCACAGUUCUGGUGCUUGCACUUUAAAGAAGAUGAGAAAAUAUUGGAGAAAAUCCAAAUAGUUUGUGAGUCAAGCACAUGUCUUGUGAUGGGAGGCUUAAAGAGCUGGGCAUAUUCCACUUACCCAAGGAAAGGUUGAGAGGAUACGUGGAAAAGACAACAGACAGCGGUGAGCUUUUUUACUCUUGCUGACAAAAGCACAACUAAGUCCACUGACUGGAAGUUUAAGGUUAGAUGUAAUCAACCUUGAAAUCAGAUGCAAUUUCCUAGCAGUAAAGGUAAUUAAACUCUGUAAGAGCUUACAAAGGGAGAUGGUGCACUCACCAUUGCUUGAUGCUGUCCUAAAAACUGUCUUUCUUUCUUAAAUAUUGGCUUUACUUCAGCUUCUGGGAGAACUUCUAAUGGCCAAGGGAGCCUCAAAUAAGGAGGAAAGGAGGGUCACGUCAGGCAAGAUUCCCUGGUGAUCCCUCAAGCCCUACAUCCAUUAGAAUGUCGCAUAUGUGCAACUUCUUCCAUUAUGGUUGAAACAAGAUGGCUUGAAUUACACCCUUCCCACUCAGACAUUUGCAGGUUGGCAUUAAGCUAAUGAGUAUAAUCAAAUUCUGUACUCAAGGGCUCCAGUUGGCUGCCUACAGAGGUAAGGAAGAAUCCCUUCCCAUUCUUCCCAGAGGAUAUUUGGUCUGAUAUAUUCUGCAGUAGAAGUUUUUCCAUUCCCCUGAAGCAUGGAUUAUUCAUUUUGCUGUAGCCAGGAAGAGAGUAGACUAAUGCAGAAAAUGAUCUUAGACAUCUGAUGCCCGGGUCUGAAUUUAGUCAAGUCCAAGAGGAGUAGAGAAUUUUCUAGAUCAAAUUGGCAAGGAUGGCGAAUUUUUGCAAAGAUUGUCUCUGUGCCUCUGUGAUUAUCUGGGCAUAUAAGGACCAAUCAGUUCUCAAGAAUUGCAGGAGUCUUGAAUACUGCUUCAGACACACAGCAGUUUGGUUUCUCAAGGAAUAAAACACCACGGGCUAAUGAAAGUAACUGUCUCAGCCUUGAGGUACAUCUACAACAACUAAUAGCCACUGGCACACAGGACAUCAGACUAGGCAAUAUAAUAAUCUCUCUUGGCCCUAAAUUGUGGGGAAACAUAGAGCUAGUACAUAACGGCUCCAAUUUUCCCAAUGCCCCUGGGAAUGUGAGGAGGCAGAUGUUCACACUGUGAGUCACAAAUGCCAAGCAGUCUCCAGAACCACUGGUCAAGAAUAAAGAGACCCACAGAGAAUUCAGAAACAAAGCAACACCUUCCAAAAUUUAAAUUAAAAAGAAAGAAAGAAAGAAACAUAAAAUACGGCCUUUUGCUUGAAGGUCUUUGCCUUGGCAGGCUUGGGAGGAAUGCUUCAGAUGUGUCUGCCUUUGGUAGCAGAGAGCUGGCCUACGGCUUCCACCAUCUGUAUUACCUCCCUGCCUAUGCUGACAGGACAGCUAGACAACAUGGUUGUGAAAAUGCCCUGUUCAAAACAGUUUUUUUUAAGAUUUCCAGCCCUAAGCUGAGAAGUGGUUCAUUUUCAUAGCAUGUGAGUGUGCUCAGCAUCCCUGAGUGAGAAAUCAGAUAUUUAACACCUUGUCUGGCAAAGCAUUCAUAAAGGCACUGUGGUGUUCUACUGUAGCUCCAUAUGGAAAACUGAAUACACAGAAAGCAGCUGUUCCUGUAUUUAGACUAACAUAGCUGGUGGUAACUUGUUUUAAACCUUUUACCCAGAUAGUCACAGAAAGGACUGAAAGAAAGCCAUCUCACAUUGGUGAAACAGGACAGAAAGCAUGUAAAUAUUUAUCAUGCCAGUAGAGACACACAUCUCCUCAACUUAUUGCCUCUUGAUUGCAUACUUAUACAAUGAGAAUGUUGUAUUAAUCACUAAUAAGAGUAAUUAAUAAUGUGGCACUGCAAAUUAUCCAUUAGCAAAAUGAGUGACAGUUUGUAAUGUUCCAAAAUGUUUACACCUGGCAACAUGCAGCAGCACAGUAAGUAUAGUUUCACAUAAUGCUCACUGGGAUGAGCAUUCUGUGAAACUAUAUGUUUCACAUAUAUAUAUAUAUAUAUAUAAUGCUCACUGACUGUGGAUACCUUUUUCUGCUGGAGCAUGAGAGGCAAGGAUGCAUUAUUAGCCUCAGCUCAUCAAAAUAUUCUUCUUGGUUUAGAUUUAUCACAGGUUCCUCCUAAACUACAGAUGUAUUUAAGAAAUGGGCUUGUCUCCUUGAGUGUAUGUGCAGACUGUGAAUGAGAUUUCCCAAACGAAUCUUCUGUUGCAUAAUUCUGCCUGUCAUUUUUAAUAGCUAGAUGGUAAAAAAAAAAAAAUAGCAUUAAGAAUCAGUGGUUAUGAUGGGACAUAUAAGGAGCAACAAGCAGUAUCUCAUAAUCUAUUUGUAGGACAUCUGGGCAGCAUAUGGGAAACUUUGGUGGAUUUAUUAUGUUCCUGAAACAGAAGAAAAAGAGAUGUAAAGAAAAAGUAAUCCAGAAACAACAAACAGUAACAUGUAAUUCUAGACUUGGACAUCUGAGACACUGUUCAGAGGAUAGCGAAGAUAUUUCUUAAUUUAUGUACAACAACACGACUGACAAAAAUGUCAUUGCUCUAGAAGAACAGUCGUGGUACCCAGGAUAUGUUAUCUUGAGUCUUAUAAAAUAAUCAGCUUGAUGUUUUGGGUUGAGUGUUUAAAUUAUGUCCAUUAUUUUUAAUUAUGUUUAUUAUUUCUAUGUAGAAAACUGUUAGCUGAACUGGAAUUUCAUCUGACAUUUACAAGAUAUUUUACAUUACUAAAAUGAGAAGUAUGGUGUGCCCCAGAGAAACUGCCAGCAUAAGAUCCUGAUCUUGCAGAUAUUUCCACAUCUGCUCUAUGUUACGCACUAAGAGUAAUGCUACUGACUUCAAGUAAGCGUUUUAAAGGACUUAAGUUAACAGUGUGUCUUUCAUUGACUAACAUCUUUAACAACAUAAAUGCACACACAGGUUGAACAAAAUAUGUAAAUUAAACAACCCCUCGUGCUUAAUCACUCCAUCAUCUAGACAAAAUGGGACGGUAUAUGCACUUUCAAAGUAAUUCUUGCUCACAAGAUGAAAACUGCUAUAGAAAAGUUGCUAUUAGUAUAAGAUCACAUUCUUUUUUCCCAACCGGCUAGUUAAAAAUGUGCUUUCAUCUUCCAUGAAAUUAUUUUUCGUUUAUUCAAAAUUAAGUAAUAAAAAUAGAAUGGGGAUAUAUGUUAUGGUGCAAUAACAGGUAUAACAGAGGUGACCUGGUAGUUUCAUGUAUAUAUCCUACAUGUGAAGAUUUCCUUCAUUUCACAUAUGUCAGAUAUCAGCUGUCAGCUAUUCCCUGGUACUACUGUUCUUCAGUGCGGGAUAUCAGGAAAGAUGACUGAAACACUAAGAAGACAUGCAUUUUUCCCCACUUGUAAACUAAACUCUGAGGAAAAGCUGUCAGAGAUUUAACAUUAUAUCGUAAAUAUUCUUCAACAUCCUCCAACUUAGGAACGUUCCACUAAAGAAAGCCUAAUGGGAACCUCUCAUUGAAUUACGCUUUGCCAAUGCAGCCUGGGUGGAGCAGCACCAUGAACACACCAGAGGUCCUGGGAAAAUGAGAAGCAUGAGCACUGUCACCAUGCCCUCAGGAAGGCAGACAAACAUGACUUCAUCCCUAAGGAAGAUCAGAAAGUGAUUUUUUCUUACCAGGCACUGAUCUCAGGCUAAUUGCCAACGCUGAUGUUACUGGCUCUCAACAUAUACAUAGUGAUCCACAAGAACUGUAAACGAAAACAAAAGAAGAAAAAGAAACAAGUAAGCAGAAACAUUUGAAAUGUAAUUGCCUCCUUUUUUUCUGUCAAUAAAAUCAGACUUUUGUUUAACUAGUUGAGUGCACAAAUUAUGGCUAGAUGUCUCAUUAACUGUUGUGCUGAAUGGCACUAAUGGCUGUCAUCCAAAGAGCGUUUAACCGGAACCAACGUUAGACCCACUUAAAAUCGGUGGUCUGCCGAGAACUCUUUCAGGCUCAGUGGAGUAUCCAAGCCCGUUAGUUAGAACUGGACACUGAUCACAGUAGAUUAAUUGACACAGAUGCCCAACAGGCCAAAGCAAAUACAUCACGGAUGCAUGAUUUUCCUAGCUGAAGAGUUUGUUACUAGAGGUACCAAAGAUCUAUGUCAUCUCCCUCUCUGAAAAAAAGAGCUGGAGCUUAGAACUUCUCUGUUUUAAUGUAUAUUAAUAAAAUCAAUUAUCCUGUGAUAUAUUCAUUUAAAUUCAUUUAAAUUAUAAAUAAGUAAACAGGAUUUGGCCUGACUAUUGUUGGCUUGGAGGAAGCAAUGAGACAAGGUCUCCAAAUAUUUCUGCCUCCAGUACUGGUUCACCAAGAGGAUAGCUUUGUAAUGGUAGUCAUAUCAGAAAUGCCUAAAAUCAUCUGAAUUAAUUUUAAAAUGGUCUCUGGGAAGCAGCUGAGCUGGGACUUAGAGGAAGAGAAUGAGAGAGAGAAAGAGAGAAAAAAGUGAGGACAUUAAAAUGGACUGAUUAAUAAAAUACGAAUACAGAGAAAGCUGUGCAGCUGGGAUUUUACACCAGCAUUUAAAAAUAGCAACACAUAUUAUUCUGCUCCUGGACCUAUAUCACUUUAAAUCUUUUAGAAACAUAUUAAAAUUACCCAAAGAGAAUUUUGUUGAAAAGCUCCCUCGAGUUACACACGAUAAUUAAAAAGAGGCUCAUUGUAAAUCCUUCUGUCUAGUUCAACAGUAUUAUCUGCUUACAGACAGCCCUCAGAGGGCAAAGUCACAGCCUUGGUCUGGCAAAAUUAUUGCCCAGUGAUGAUGCAUUCUUUGUGCUCACAGUAACUCAGCAUGAGCACAGUAACAACAGAUCUUAUAUAUGGCUGCUACAGCGUGAGGAGAAAAAACAUCAACAACGUUAUUGUUUAUAUUAAUGAGACAUCUCUGAAAUAGCAUUAUUUGUCUAAAACAGAGGACAGAUCAGUUUCAAAAGUCAAGAAGAACCAGCAAGGGAGCUUGGAGAAUCAGUUGUGGUUUAAUCUUCCAACUGAUGAAAAAUACUACCUUUCUCUAGAUCACAUAGAUCACAUAGACAUUAUGAAAUUAAUCUUAAAACUGAAUUUGAGGGAGCUGAGUGAUUGAAAUCCAGUUAUCUGAAUGGUAAGAUCAUAGCGUACAUGUGUUGAGCAGAUCACCGUCUUAGGAAUAAUGUGAUUCAGUAAAAAACGGAGCAGAAAGAAAUAUUGUAAUUAAUCUGGAACUCUGUACUGAAGGAAAAAGAGAACUGAAUUUUAAGCUCUUGUUAGUCAUCGCUGAGGCAAGACGUAUAUCUGAAUCUGAUCUAUAAAGAAGCAGAUUUUUGAAGAAGUAUACCACCAUUCCCCAUCGGGCAUGCAAAAGUGCACUGCAUUUUGGAAUAGCAUCCACUCUAAAGCAGAAGACUGGCACAGACCUGUGCAGUUAUUUUUCAUUUAAGUCUUCAAGACAGAACUGAUGUCUUGAUCUCUUCUUCACCCUAAUGUCAAGGAGUGAUUUUCAUCCUAUUCCUGUUUUCCUGGUCCUUUUGUAUUCACAGGUAAGAAGGGCUUGAGCAGCAUUUCUUAAAUGUGCUGAGAAUUCUCAUAGAGGGUCUUUGUGUGCAAAUCUUGUGCAUGCUUUCAAGGGCGAGUAAAGAUGUGGCCUCUUACGAUGGAACUGUAAUGAAACAACAUAUUUGCUUCCAGGAGAGCUACACAGGCACUUCCAUGUUUCUUACAGUUUAGUUUGAAUUGUUGCUUUCAUUAUGAACCUAUUAGUUCAGGGCUUUAACAGAGCCAAGCAGCUCUGCUUCAGGCUACUAUUUGGCUCGCACCACCACUAGUACAAGAGUAAUGGUUUGUUUGGACAAUUUAAUAAAAUUCAUUAUCUCAACAGUUGCCAGGCUCAAAGACAAGCAAAAAUGCAUGUGCAUGAUUUCAGAUUUUGCAAACGGUAUUCAGAUUUCACAAGAUAGCUUUGCCUUUGAAGGAAAAAAAAAAUAAUAGAUGAGAGUUCCUUAAUUGGAGGUAAUUUCCUUGUCAAAUUAAGCAAAAACUCUGCUAAAAUAUUGGCUGGCAUCCUAAUGGGUAAAAAUAAUGUUCAAAGAUAGCACAGUAACCAAUAGAAAUUGCAUGGAAUUUAUCUUUAAAUAUCUAGUGAUGAUUAAAUUACCACAAUGUGAGUCAUCUGACAUGGUGAGGUGUGAUGAUGAACUGCACGCUUCAGUCCUUUGUAAAGUUUUGAGGUGUUGAAAGAAGAGCACUCCACACCUGAGUGUUAGUGUAAUCGUCAUUGAUUGAGAAAGAUGUAGUUCAGUAACAAACUAAGCAUUUUCUGUCAUUAUGGAUCAACAAAGAACUCAUCUUCUGAAGUGCUUAUUAAAGCUAAAAUCAUUACAAAAUAGAGGAGUUUGAAAGCUGCUGCAAUAUAUGUGCAAGAAACAUCAUUACAUGGUAUACAUCUUAUUGGAAAUAUAUUUGAUUUUUUUUUUUCCUGUGCCAGUUAUUCCCUACAUUUUCACAUUUUCAAAACUGAGAAUGAAGCAUAGUGGGAGUCAUAGUGUUAAAAGCCUUCAAAUGACAAUUUUAAUUUAGAGCCUUUGAUUCAAAUGAGUGGAUGACUCAGGAAACUGGUCUAGACUAUACAGUCCUUAACAGGGCCACUUGUUAAGAGUCAGUCUGAAGUGUGGGUGAUCACCCAGCUCCUGCAGAGAGCUGAUGAGCAGCCCUAAGGAACAAGUGUUCUGGGCUAUGUGGCCUCUCCUCCACAUUGCAAAUGAGAAGGCAGAUUAGGGCUGUUGGACAGAAGGCACUAAGACGGGGGAGGUAUUUGGGUUCUCUUUUGCUGGAAUGCGGUGUUGAAUUGUCUAGAACAGGAUGGUGUUGGAACAAAAGAAGGUGGCACAUCUUUGCAAUUUUUUUUUCUCUUCUUUGUAAUAAAGAAUUAACUUAAUCUUUAGAGGAUGAAAGCUGUCUUAGUUUCACUGACUUCAGGAAAGCUCUAAGAGUGUAUGCCAGUAUCUGCAGCUGGUAGCUUUGGAAUCAUAGAAUCAUACGAUCACCAAGGUUGGAAAAGAUCCCCAAGAUCUGGUCCAACUGACCACCUACCACCAAUACUUCUCCACUAAGAGAAUGUCCCUUAGUAUUACAUCUACAUGUUUCUUGAACACCUCCAGUUUCAGUGACUUAGCCACCUCCCUGUGCAGCCCGUUCCAGUGCCAAAUCACUCUUUCAGAGAAGAAAUUUUUCCUAAUAACCUGAAUUUCUGCUGGAGCAACUUGAGGCCAUUCCCUCCAGUCCAAUCGCUAGUUAAAUGGGAGAAGAGGCUGAUCCCCACCUCAUCAAAACCUCAUUUCAGGCAGUUGUAGAGAGGUCUCCCUCUCCCAUGAGGUCUCCCCCGAACUUCCUCUUCUCCAGACUAAAUAAUCCCAGUUCCCUCAGCCACUUCUCGUUAGACUUGUUCUUUAGACCCCUCACAGCUUCACUGUCCUUUUCCGGACACACUCCAGGUCCACAGUGUCUUUCUUGUAGUGAGGGGCCCAAUACUGAAGGCAGUACUUUCAUAAUCACUGAAACACAUGCAUACAAACACCUCAUUUGUGUUUUAGAGGAACAUUCUUUACUGAAAAAGGCUGUAAACAUUUCAUAAAACAGCACCAUUUUUGUUGACUGUGUACUCUGCAGUCAUUUUUGCUGCAGAUUGCUGGCACGGCUGUAUUGCAGCAUGCGUGGACAAAUGCUCUGCCCUCACGUCCCCCUAGACUACAUGUGGGAUGAAGGAAAAGAAAUUCUUCCAGCUCAACUUUCUCAAAAUGUUGAGCUUCAUAUCUCUGGUAUUAGCAUACAGGUUCCUUUACAAAUGCCUGGCAACUACACUCAUUCCUGUUUUUGGAAUUAUCUAACAUACUUCAAGAAGCUGCAAGGAAUGCACAAAAAAGCCUGCCGGAAUAACAUGUGUAACUCUUCAAAAUACAACACUGUAGUUGCCAUAUCUUACUGCUUUACUGCUUGUAAGAUGUUUAUUUUGUAUAUACUGUAUUUUCGAAACCUACAUUUCAGUAUAAUCAACACAAGUGAAUCAAUACUUGUAAUUGCCUGCUGAAGCCUCUAUCUUUUUUGACCCCAUCAGAAUAUGUGUUGGGAUAAUCCAGAUAGAGUCAUUCCCUGUAAGGAAGUAUAGUAUGGGGUAUAGGUGCCCUUACCUGUGGAGAUUUGUGGAGUUUCAGUCACAUGAGGGAAAAGGACUAAGCAGAAGCUGAAAGUAAGUCUAUAAUGCAGAGGAAGUACUUGGAAGAGAUCCUUAAUUUUCAUGCUAUCCAGGAUAAUAACUGAGCUCAGCCAUCAUUUGCAGCUGUUCUGGGAUAUAUCACAAUGAACAGAGAUUAGCCAUUAUUAUUCAGCAUCUGCUUCAGUGUCCUCAAUAUCCUAUAAAAUUCUACGCUUUACCUAAUUGGCCUAGAAGGAGAAACAAACCAAUAAAUCUGGUUUUAUUAUGAUUAUGUUACCAGACUGGGAGUAAAUGAACUUCAAAUAUAAUGCCUGGGAAUACUAGAUAAUCAUCUUCCAAUCAUAAGAGUAGCUAUUAAGAAGUGGACUGGGGUAUAGAAAUGUUGUUCAAAAAGAUUCUUUUUUUUUUUUUUUUAUCUUCUAGCAAUUAGAAUAGCCAUUUAUUAUUAAUCAUUAGUGCCAUCCAUCACUAUCAGGGCUAGUGGAUGUCAGUGCAGUUGGAAGAAUGCUUAUCCCCUUUUGCACAUGGAACAGUGAUUGGAAAUGCGUUAUGCCUACUCUGCAAGUCAGCUCUAACCUAGUAUACCCUAAAUGGUUUGGGAUCUUGGAAAUGCCCCUCACCUCCAUGUCCCAGUGCACCUGUGGAGACCAGCAGAGUGUCAGCAAACUAAGUUUGCAUUUCUAACAACAACCAAAAAAGUGGGGGGAAAUGCAGAGCUUCCAGUACUGAGCUUUCAUGAUCAGCAUUUUUCAGUGGUGAGAUUAUUGUGAAAUAAACACUGGAGAGGCUUGGUAGUAUUCCAGGCUAAGUAGGACAAAGGGAGGUAUAUUCAUCACUUACACGGGUGGCAAACAGCUCAGUUCUGUAUGUUCAGUAACUUACUGCAUGAAACAUUUCAUUUUAAAAGAUGCAGGUGGAGGACAAUCAAUUAUUUGAGCGAUAUAUUUUAUAAUACAUACUCAAACCUCAUAAUUAACAUUAAAAAUGUUCUGUCUGAACGGUGUAUGGCUGACUUGAGAGGAUUAUUUUCAGGACCGCCCUAAUUGUCGUGUGUUUUAUUUUUCCACACAGCUAUGACAGAAAUCAUGACUGAUGAGUAAAAGCCCCCAACACCGACCCUUUGAGGACUGUCAGAUUUUAUGAGCUAAUGCUAAGUCUGUACUCAUUUUGUAAAACAUUGAGCAAAUUUUCAGACACUGUAAAAAAAAAAAACCCACAGAGAUGAAGUAAAAUAUGUUAAUAUUGUCAAUGAAACAGUGAGUAUAUCAAAUGGGCUUUAUAUAACAUAAUAUAUGUAAAAUGUAAAAGUUCGGUAGCAGAUCAAGCAUUAAACCUUUUUCUUUUUUUUUUGUCAGCUGCAAGAAUAAAGAGAUAAAAUACA